AAAUUGAAGAGUUUGAUCAUGGCUCAGAUUGAACGCUGGCGGCAGGCCUAACACAUGCAAGUCGAACGGUAACAGGAAGCAGCUUGCUGCUUUGCUGACGAGUGGCGGACGGGUGAGUAAUGUCUGGGAAACUGCCCGAUGGAGGGGGAUAACGACUGGAAACGGUAGCUCAUACCGCAUAACGUCGCAAGACCAAAGAGGGGGACCUGAGGGCCUCGUGCCAUCGGAUGUGCUCAGAUGGGA
Molecule: ribosomal RNA, 243 nt
Filed under: Escherichia coli
Lineage: Bacteria; Pseudomonadati; Pseudomonadota; Gammaproteobacteria; Enterobacterales; Enterobacteriaceae
Description: partial 16S ribosomal RNA
Rfam family: Bacterial small subunit ribosomal RNA
Source: RNAcentral